GAUGUAGAUCCGUAAUUCCAACGUGGGGAACUCUCACGCCCUGAGUUUCUAGCCGGGCUCUACAGCUUUACUAGUCAUUAGGGAAGUAUACAUGUUUAAAUCUCUCACUAUUAGAAUUUUACUUUGUGGAAUUCAUUUCAGGACUUCUGUUGGGAUUUUUGUGCAACAUCUGUAAGAUAGGACGAAGUUUUGGUCCCAGGAGGCUUAUUAUGAUGAGGUGUGGGGUACGCGGUCUUUUGGCUAUAUCCGUCGCUAUGGUUGUGAUGGUACAUUCAACUACUACAAAAAAUACAAAAUAAAUUGACAAUGCAAAACGUUUGGUAUAUGCACUGAUUCCAUACUUCAUCAGAUAUCAGUUUAUAUAUUUUUAGGUACAACGGUCCUCUAGACUCCUCCAGAGCGGAUACCCAGACAUAUAAACUGGAUCACUACCAAACAUACUGCUGAUUCUAUAACUAUUGUUUUACCCAGGAUGGUCAGUGCGGAUACUCUUGUUAAUAAUCUACAAGUUGGCUAUUGCUAAGUGUGUUGAUGACGUACACUUCCUAUAUUAAUACACCGCAAGGGUUUCUUUGGAUUGGGCGCCAUAUUGUUACGUGUCCUUUUAAGCGGAGCCAGAACGAUGCCUCUAUAUCGCCGACUAACUCUGCCGACUCUCUUGGGGCAGGUUCCAUCCCGACAUCUCUAGCCCAGGAACGUACACAAUCGAUUUGGUCUAUUCCUAUCGAUAAUUUACUUUAACUUCUCCCAUCAAAACUCCGGACUCCGGGUUCAGAGUCAAACUUAGCCGCCCACCCGACCAUAGUCAUCCUACCGAUCUUGCCUUGAUGACCCCUAUUACCGCUGGAAGUACCACCACUCACCUCAUCAUCCUUUUCCUCCUUUCCUUUUCAGUUAAACUCUCAUAUUUCUAAUUGUCUACAGAUUCACAUUAUAUUUAUUGAAAAA
Long non-coding RNA from Musca domestica (house fly), 948 nucleotides. RefSeq lists it as uncharacterized. The record is from RefSeq and is a predicted model, not a curated record. The transcript has 3 exons. NCBI's taxonomy places the organism in Eukaryota, Metazoa, Arthropoda, Insecta, Diptera, Muscidae.